RNAcentral lists this RNase P RNA (390 nucleotides) under Pontibacter burrus. RNAcentral describes it as "Pontibacter sp. BT327 RNase P RNA component class A". It matches the Rfam family "Bacterial RNase P class A". Rfam says of the family: Ribonuclease P (RNase P) is a ubiquitous endoribonuclease, found in archaea, bacteria and eukarya as well as chloroplasts and mitochondria. Its best characterised activity is the generation of mature 5'-ends of tRNAs by cleaving the 5'-leader elements of precursor-tRNAs. The record is from RNAcentral. Lineage: Bacteria; Pseudomonadati; Bacteroidota; Cytophagia; Cytophagales; Hymenobacteraceae.
ACAGCAAGCCAUCUUAUCGCUGCUCUAUUUAGAGGAGAGGAAAGUCCGGGCAACGCAGAGCAUCCUACUUCCUAACGGGAAGGGUCUGUUUUGGAGACGAAACAGAUACAGCCAGUGCCACAGAAAAUAACCGCCAGCCUUGUGUUGGUAAGGGUGAAAAGGUGCGGUAAGAGCGCACCAGCGGCUGGGUUACCAGUCCGGCUGGGUAAACCUUAGGAGUUGAAAGACCAAAUAGGCUGACAGUGCUCCGUUUCGGCGGGGCUAAGGGCUGCUCGUCCGAUGUCAGUGGGUAGGUCGAUGGAGCCUGUGCGCGAGUGCAGGCCUAGAUAAAUGAUAAGACGUUUGGCUUAUGCUAAACGACAGAACCCGGCUUACAGGCUUGCUGCUUCU